UAGGGAAUCUUCCGCAAUGGGCGAAAGCCUGACGGAGCAACGCCGCGUGAGUGAUGAAGGUCUUCGGAUCGUAAAACUCUGUUGUUAGGGAAGAACAAAUUUGUUAGUAACUGAACAAGUCUUGACGGUACCUAACCAGAAAGCCACGGCUAACUACGUGCCAGCAGCCGCGGUAAUACGUAGGUGGCAAGCGUUAUCCGGAAUUAUUGGGCGUAAAGCGCGCGUAGGCGGUUUCUUAAGUCUGAUGUGAAAGCCCACGGCUCAACCGUGGAGGGUCAUUGGAAACUGGGAAACUUGAGUGCAGAAGAGGAGAGUGGAAUUCCAUGUGUAGCGGUGAAAUGCGCAGAGAUAUGGGGGAACACCAGUGGCGAAGGCGGCUCUCUGGUCUGUAACUGACGCUGAUGUGCGAAAGCGUGGGGAUCAAACAGG
RNAcentral lists this ribosomal RNA (429 nucleotides) under Bacillota bacterium. Its description in RNAcentral is "Firmicutes bacterium partial 16S ribosomal RNA". It matches the Rfam family "Bacterial small subunit ribosomal RNA", at positions 355 to 776 of the family's 1533-position model. Lineage: Bacteria; Bacillati; Bacillota. The record is from RNAcentral.